This 1048-nucleotide ribosomal RNA is filed under the name Aphrophora stictica. RNAcentral describes it as "SSU rRNA". It matches the Rfam family "Eukaryotic small subunit ribosomal RNA", at positions 49 to 993 of the family's 1831-position model. Lineage: Eukaryota; Metazoa; Arthropoda; Insecta; Hemiptera; Aphrophoridae. The record is from RNAcentral.
GCAUGCAGUCUCAGUACGAGCCACAUUAAGGUGAAACCGCAAAAGGCUCAUUAAAUCAGUUAUGGUUCCUUAGAUCGUACAAUCCCUUACUUGGAUAACUGUGGUAAUUCUAGAGCUAAUACAUGCAAACAGAGUCCCGACCAGAGAUGGAAGGGACGCUUUUAUUAGAUCAAAACCAAUCGGUGCCCGGCUUGCCGGGCCCGUUAUCCUUGGUGACUCUGAAUAACUUUCAGCUGAUCGCACGGUCCUAGUACCGGCGACGCAUCUUUCAAAUGUCUGACUUAUCAACUGUCGAUGGUAGAUUCUGCGCCUACCAUGGUUGUAACGGGUAACGGGGAAUCAGGGUUCGAUUCCGGAGAGGGAGCCUGAGAAACGGCUACCACAUCCAAGGAAGGCAGCAGGCGCGCAAAUUACCCACUCCCGGCACGGGGAGGUAGUGACGAAAAAUAACGAUACGGGACUCAUCCGAGGCCCCGUAAUCGGAAUGAGUACACUUUAAAUCCUUUAACGAGUACCAAUUGGAGGGCAAGUCUGGUGCCAGCAGCCGCGGUAAUUCCAGCUCCAAUAGCGUAUAUUAAAGUUGUUGCGGUUAAAAAGCUCGUAGUUGGACCUGUGUUCCACGCUGUCGGUUCGCCGCCCGUCGGUGUUAACUGGCAUGUCCUGUGGAACGUCCUGCCGGUGGCGGUCCGGGCUCUCGGCUUGCGUAAAGACCUUGUGUCUGAAGCAGGACGAAUAGUUCCGGCCGCCGGUCCAAUCCCGCCACGGUGCUCUUCACCGAGUGUCGAGGUGGGCCGGCACGUUUACUUUGAACAAAUUAGAGUGCUUAAAGCAGGCUGGUGUCCGCCUGAAUACUGUGUGCAUGGAAUAAUGGAAUAGGACCUCGGUUCUAUUUUGUUGGUUUUCGGAACCCGAGGUAAUGAUUAAUAGGGACAGGCGGGGGGCAUUUCGUAUUGCGACGUUAGAGGUGAAAUUCUUGGAUCGUCGCAAGACGAAACCUAAGCGAAAGGCAUUUGCCAAGUAUGUUCUCGUUAAUCAGAACGAAAGUUUA